Long non-coding RNA from Zingiber officinale, 562 nucleotides. RefSeq lists it as uncharacterized. NCBI's taxonomy places the organism in Eukaryota, Viridiplantae, Streptophyta, Magnoliopsida, Zingiberales, Zingiberaceae. The record is from RefSeq and is a predicted model, not a curated record. The transcript is spliced from 3 exons.
UCGGUGCACAUUUCGUUAUCAUUUUUAUUAUUAUUAUUAUUAUUAUUAUUUUAAAAUUUAUUUUAAUUAAAUUUGAUUUUAUAAUGUUGAUGGGGAAUUGACGCGAGGAACUAUUGACGGCCGCAAAGAGAAGCUGGACUGCCCACCGGCCACCGUCGGCGACGUGGGGAAGUAGAAGUCAGUCCGGAGGUUCGCGUGGGACCGGGGCACCGGCAAUUGCGGAUCGCCCGAACCGUGGAUUCCAAUUAUGAGGCGUCACCUUCACUGCCGUUAGUCCGGGUCGGACCGCGCUACGGGCGUCGUCGGAUCUGAAUCGGACGGCAGGAGGGGUGGCAGGGAUAUGUUUGUGGGAACGGGGAGGGGUUCGCGUGGACGUGAUCGAAAUUGAGAUCUCUAUCCGAAUUGUGACGUCACGGCGAGCGGGAGCAUUUAAUGAGCUCUCCGAUUAUGAACACUGAGUGUCGGAGAAUAUGGGGCGGUUGCUUGAUGUCUGCGAUUCAUAAUUCUUGCUACAAGAAGCUGACGGCGAUCGAGGAAGAAAAGGAAGAGAAUGAGAGUGCGA